UCUAUUUCAAUUUUAGCUCACAUCUCUCUCUCCUCUGUUAUCUCUAUCGCUUCUCCUUCCCGGCUCUCUCAGAACCAAAGAAAAAAACCAUUUUUUUCUUAUGAACCUUCCACCUCCUGUUCCAUUUUCUUACCAAGACUAAUUAUGAAUCAACAGAUCUGCAUGAUUGCUUCCUCCUUCCAACAGAACUGAUGAUUCUAAAUUUUAUAAAUCAAAUAACCCUCAUAUAUGUCUAUGUAUCUGUUGUUGCGGAAAUUUGAAACCCUAACUCUCUGUAAAUAUCUGUAGAAACAGUAAAAUCCUUCACGACCGACCAACAUCCCCUUUUGUUCAUCAAUAACUUCCAAAACCCAAUCCUAGAUUUUUGCCAUCGCAAUCAGAAACCCUAUCUCUCUAUUUCGAAAGAUUUUUUAAGAGGUUAAACAAUCGAAGACGUGGACAGAGUAUGAUAUAGGUGUGAAUACUUUCUCAAUUGAGGGGAGAUUUUUUCUGGUUGAGUAUGCGAUUGAAGCUAUUAAGGUACUAAAUAAAGUUUGGAUGGAAUUACGGAGCGAAAAGAGCAGAAAAAUGGUGGAAGCCGAGAAGAAUUACGCAAAGAAGCUGUGAAGAAUGUUGUGCGCAAGACCAAAAGGCUAAAAAUGGGCUCAACAAGGAGGAAAUUGAUCUUAAAGAAGAAAUGGGCUCGGAAUUACCCCAAGCCCAACUUAUCUCCCACACCAAAACCCAAAUUCACAACCACUUCUCCCGUAGCCGUCAUAUUGGAUCCUCAUCUGAAUCCAACGGUCGCUUCAUCGCCAGUACAUCAAAUUUGCUACAACCGCUUCACACCACAGCACCUUACUCGGUCUUGAGCCGUCAGUUUCGUUGUAUUUUUGCAUCCAACGGUCGCUCAUGAUCUGUCUCCAUAUCGCCGUUAGAUCCGUUCCAGAAGAUGUUAUCCCACGGCUCAGCUUUACAAGACAUCAAAUCUUGAUGUUCCCGAUACACACCUUAGAACCCUAACAUAUUUUUCCAAAACAAACAACACCUAAUUCAUUCUAUCGGGUUUUCUUCGUCUCCUCCUUCUUCUUCUUCACAGCGCCUCCACCAACUCCACUGCACUGUCGCCAUCACUACCACUUGCUCCGCCACCAACUCCACCUUAAUCACCACCAUACCCACCACGUAUAACAACCAAACCCAUCACUCUACCUACCUAUUACAUCAACCUCUCGAUCUUUCUUUCUCUCUGAAACCCUAGUUUUUGGGGAUGAUGAUAUAGGUUAGUUAGAGAAGAAAUCAAAGGUAUGGGAAGAUAGAGAAGAAGAUAUGGAAGCAUGGGUCGACGAAAUAGAAGAAGAAAUCAGAGAGUUAGGUGAGUGAAUUUCGUAUUUGGUGAAACCCUAGUUUCAC
Molecule: long non-coding RNA, 1392 nt
Organism: Papaver somniferum (opium poppy)
Lineage: Eukaryota; Viridiplantae; Streptophyta; Magnoliopsida; Ranunculales; Papaveraceae
Exons: 4
Source: RefSeq, a predicted model, not a curated record